RNAcentral lists this ribosomal RNA (497 nucleotides) under uncultured bacterium. RNAcentral's name for it is "partial 16S ribosomal RNA". It matches the Rfam family "Bacterial small subunit ribosomal RNA", at positions 28 to 507 of the family's 1533-position model. The record is from RNAcentral.
GACGAACGCUGGCGGCGUGCCUAAUACAUGCAAGUUGAGCGCUGAAGGUUGGUACUUGUACCGACUGGAUGAGCAGCGAACGGGUGAGUAACGCGUGGGGAAUCUGCCUUUGAGCGGGGGACAACAUUUGGAAACGAAUGCUAAUACCGCAUAAAAACUUUAAACACACGUUUUAAGUUUGAAAGAUGCAAUUGCAUCACUCAAAGAUGAUCCCGCGUUGUAUUAGCUAGUUGGUGAGGUAAAGGCUCACCAAGGCGAUGAUACAUAGCCGACCUGAGAGGGUAAUCGGCCACAUUGGGACGGAGACACGGCCCAAACUCCUACGGGAGGCAGCAGUAGGGAAUCUUCGGCAAUGGACGAAAGUCUGACCGAGCAACGCCGCGUGAGUGAAGAAGGUUUUCGGAUCGUAAAACUCUGUUGGUAGAGAAGAACGUUGGUGAGAGUGGAAAGCUCAGCAAGUGACGGUAACUACCCAGAAAGGGACGGCUAACUACGUG